This is an RNA transcript of Perognathus longimembris pacificus (Pacific pocket mouse), 1200 nucleotides long. It is a transcript of the gene named poly(rC)-binding protein 2-like, with no coding region annotated. The transcript has a single exon. Lineage: Eukaryota; Metazoa; Chordata; Mammalia; Rodentia; Heteromyidae. The record is from RefSeq and is a predicted model, not a curated record.
UUCCCCUCAGUCGCCUCGUGCCUGCAGUUUUUGGAUUUCACCCCUAACAGUGACCAAAGACUUGAUCACUCAAAGUCCAGCUCCCUAUAACACUGCUCGACAUGGACACUGGUGUGAUUGAAGGUGGAUUAAAUGUCGCUCUCACCAUCCGGCUACUUAUGCAUGGAAAGUUUUAUCCGUUAUAGGAAAUUGGCAGUAUCUUCGGGAAGAAAAGAGAAUCCUUUAAGAAGAUGAGCGAGGAGAGUGGUGCACGUAUCAUCAUCUCAGAAGGGAAUUGUCCUGAGAGAAUUAUCACUUUGGCCGGACCCACUAAUGCCAUCUUCAAAGCCUUUGCUACAAUCAGUGACAAACUGGAACUGGACAUAGCAGCUCUAUGACCAAUAGUAUAGCUGCAAGUAGAUAAGGCUGGUGGUUCCUACUAGUCAAUGUGGCUCUCUCAUUGGAAAAGGUGGUUGCAAGAUCAAGGAAAUAUGAGAGAGUUCAGGGGCUCAGGUCCAGGUGGCAGGGGAUAUGCUUCCCAACUCAUCUGAGCGGGCCAUCACUAUUGCUGGCAUUCCGCAAUUCAUCACUGAGUGUGUCAAACAGAUCUGCGUGGUCUUAUUGGAGACUCUCUCCCAGUCCCCUCUGAAGGGUGUGACCAUCCUGUACCGGCCCAAGACGUCAAGUUCUCCAGUCAUCUUUGCAGGUGGUCAGGCCUAUACCAUUCAAGGACAGUAUGCCAUUCCACAGCCAGAUUUGACCAAGCUGCACCAAUUCGCAAUGCAACAGUCUCAUUUUCUCAUGACGCAUGGCAACACCGGAUUCAGUGGCAUUGAAUCCAGCUAUCCAGAGGUGAAAGGCUUUGGGCAGGUUUGGAUGCAUCUGCUCAGACUACUUCUCAUGAACUCACCAUUCCAAAUGAUCUGAUUGGCUGCAUAAUCAGGCGUCAGGGCGUCAAAAUCAAUGAGAUCCAUCAGAUGUAUGGGGCGCAGAUCAAAAUUGCGAACCCAGUGGAAGGAUCUACUGAUAGGCAGGUCACCAUCAAUGGAUCUGCUGCCUGGCUCAGUAUCUAAUCAAUAUCAGGCUUUCCUAGGAGACGGGUGGCAUGGGGAGCAGCUAGAACAAUGCAGACUCAUCCAUAAUCCCUUUCUCCUGUUCACCUCCACCACCCAUGAUCCAUCUGUGUAGUUUCUGAACAGUCAGCGAAUCCAGGUUUUAAAU